Molecule: ribosomal RNA, 773 nt
Filed under: uncultured Neocallimastigales
Lineage: Eukaryota; Fungi; Neocallimastigomycota; Neocallimastigomycetes; Neocallimastigales
Description: partial large subunit ribosomal RNA
Rfam family: Eukaryotic large subunit ribosomal RNA
Source: RNAcentral
AUAGAGACUCAGAGCUGCAUAUCAAUAAGCGGAGGAAAAGAAACUAACAAGGAUUCCCCUAGUAACGGCGAGUGAAGCGGGAAGAGCUCAAAUUUGAAAUCUUCAAGGGUUUCCCUUGACGAAUUGUAGUUUAAAGAAGUGUUUUCUGUUAGAGAGGUGGUAAAAGUUCUUUGGAAUAGGACAUCAUAGAGGGUGAGAAUCCCGUAUUUGACCAUUAUUUCCAGCUUUGUGAUACACUUUCAAAGAGUCGGAUUGUUUGGGAAUGCAGUCCAAAAUGGGUGGUAAAUUUCAUCUAAAGCUAAAUAUUGGCGAGAGACCGAUAGCGAACAAGUACCGUGAGGGAAAGAUGAAAAGAGCUUUGAAAAGAGAGUUAAACAGUACGUGAAAUUGUCAAAAGGGAAGCGUUUGACACCAGUGUUGUUUUCUCGAAAAUCAAUUCAUGAUGGCUUGAUGCUAGGUUGUUAAGACUUUAUCAGCUUACUGUCUAGUUUUCUUGUCUUUGUGAAUGCACUUUUCGUUUAACAAGUCAACAUCAAUUUCUUUUGUUGUAAAAGGUUAAGAGGAAGGUGGCUUUACUUUCGGGUAAAGUGUUUAUAGCCUUUUAACUCUGCAAUCGGAGAGAUUGAGGUCUGCAGCGUAGAUCCUUCGGGGUUAGAUACGUAGAUGCUAAGUUAUAGCUUUUCAUAGACAACUUGUUGACUAUGUUAGUCUUGUAGCUUACUCGCUGACGCUAUAUUACCUACGCUUAGGAUGUUGAAGAUAUGCGCGACACG